CUGAUAGCUCAACUAUUAGGCUUCGGGGGAUACUGCCAGACUUGGAACCGGGAGAGGUAAGAGGUACGUACAGGGGUAGGAGUGAAAUCUUGUAAUCCCUGUGGGACCACCUGUGGCGAAGGCGUCUUACCAGAACGGGUUCGACGGUGAGGACGAAAGCUGGGGGCACGAACCGGAUUAGAUACCCGGGUAGUCCCAGCCGUAAACGAUGCUCGCUAGGUGUCAGGCAUGGCGCGACCGUGUCUGGUGCCGCAGGGAAGCCGUGAAGCGAGCCACCUGGGAAGUACGGCCGCAAGGCUGAAACUUAAAGGAAUUGGCGGGGGAGCACAACAACGGGUGGAGCCCUGCGGUUUAAUUGGACUCAACGCCGGACAACUCACCGGGGGCGACAGCAAUAUGUAGGCCAAGCUGAAGACUUUGCCUGAAUCGCUGAGAAGUGGUGCAUGG
Molecule: ribosomal RNA, 447 nt
Filed under: uncultured archaeon
Lineage: Archaea
Description: bacterial SSU rRNA
Rfam family: Archaeal small subunit ribosomal RNA
Source: RNAcentral